CGCCCGGCCGGAUCCCGUGGGGGGAAUCCGCUGUCGGGGAUAUGGGAAGCGCCCCGCCCGCCGAC
RNAcentral lists this non-coding RNA (65 nucleotides) under Streptomyces pristinaespiralis ATCC 25486. RNAcentral describes it as "Streptomyces RNA 2736". It matches the Rfam family "Streptomyces RNA 2736". From Rfam's summary of the family: Identified by deep sequencing of transcriptome at the end of exponential growth phase. Appears smaller on northern blot than sequencing transcript. This indicates processing step. Lineage: Bacteria; Bacillati; Actinomycetota; Actinomycetes; Kitasatosporales; Streptomycetaceae. The record is from Rfam by way of RNAcentral.